AGUUAUUUAGCUUAAUAAAGCAUUUGUUUUGAAAACAAAAGAUAGAAAAAUUUUUUAAUAACUU
RNAcentral lists this transfer RNA (64 nucleotides) under Ammophila sabulosa. RNAcentral's name for it is "tRNA-Ser". It matches the Rfam family "tRNA". From Rfam's summary of the family: Transfer RNA (tRNA) molecules are approximately 80 nucleotides in length. Their secondary structure includes four short double-helical elements and three loops (D, anti-codon, and T loops). Further hydrogen bonds mediate the characteristic L-shaped molecular structure. tRNAs have two regions of fundamental functional importance: the anti-codon, which is responsible for specific mRNA codon recognition, and the 3' end, to which the tRNAs corresponding amino acid is attached (by aminoacyl-tRNA synthetases). tRNAs cope with the degeneracy of the genetic code in two manners: having more than one tRNA (with a specific anti-codon) for a particular amino acid; and 'wobble' base-pairing, i.e. permitting non-standard base-pairing at the 3rd anti-codon position. The record is from RNAcentral. RNAcentral also lists the same sequence under 1 other name. Lineage: Eukaryota; Metazoa; Arthropoda; Insecta; Hymenoptera; Sphecidae.